This 167-nucleotide small RNA is filed under the name Dromaius novaehollandiae (emu). RNAcentral describes it as "TUC338 (ENSDNVG00000009628.1)". Lineage: Eukaryota; Metazoa; Chordata; Aves; Casuariiformes; Dromaiidae. The record is from RNAcentral.
UAGGAAGAAGCGGAGUCUCAAGUCCUUUAUUUCUUUGAUGCUUCACCCAGAAAAUUCUAUAGUUAGGCUCCUCCACCAAAAACUGUGCCUCAGCUCUGACCUGAAGGGACCACCUCUUUGGAAGAAAGGAUCGUUCACUCUCCRUAUCUAUUCAUCCCUCAGUCUCU